RNAcentral lists this ribosomal RNA (468 nucleotides) under uncultured bacterium. RNAcentral describes it as "partial 16S ribosomal RNA". It matches the Rfam family "Bacterial small subunit ribosomal RNA", at positions 28 to 507 of the family's 1533-position model. The record is from RNAcentral.
GACGAACGCUGGCGGCGUGCUUAACACAUGCAAGUCGAACGGAAAGGCCCCUCUUUUGUUGGUCGCUUGAGUGGCGAACGGGUGAGAAAUACGUGAGUUACCCUCCCCUUACUUUUGGAUUCCUUCAGGAAACUGGGGUCAAUAACCGAUAUCCGUUCCUGCUGCUUGGUGGUGGGUGGAUAGUUUCGGUGGUUGGGGAUGGGCUCGCGGCUUAUUAGCUUGUUGGUGGGGUAGGGGCUUACCAAGGCUUUGACGGGUAGCCGGCCUGAGAGGGUGACCGGCCACAUUGGGACUGAGAUACGGCCCAGACUCCUACGGGAGGCAGCAGUGGGGAAUAUUGCACAAUGGGCGGAAGCCUGAUGCAGCAACGCCGCGUGCGGGAUGACGGCCUUCGGGUUGUAAACCGCUUUCGCCUGUGACGAAGCGUGAGUGACGGUAAUGGGUAAAGAAGCACCGGCUAACUACGUG